Molecule: ribosomal RNA, 820 nt
Filed under: uncultured eukaryote
Lineage: Eukaryota
Description: SSU rRNA
Rfam family: Eukaryotic small subunit ribosomal RNA
Source: RNAcentral
CGGUGUUUAACUGGCGUGAUGUGGGACGUCCUACCGGUGGGCUUAGCCUCGCGAGGGGCGGCCCAACUAAUAUCCCGUCGCGGUGCUCUUUACUGAGUGUCGAGUCGGGCCGGUACGUUUACUUUGAACAAAUUAGAGUGCUUAAAGCAGGCUAUCCUCGCCUGAAUACUGCGUGCAUGGAAUAAUGGAAUAGGACCUCGGUUCUAUUUUGUUGGUUUUCGGAACCCCGAGGUAAUGAUUAAUAGGGACAGAUGGGGGCAUUCGUAUUGCGACGUUAGAGGUGAAAUUCUUGGAUCGUCGCAAGACGGACAGAAGCGAAAGCAUUUGCCAAAAAUGUUUUCAUUAAUCAAGAACGAAAGUUAGAGGUUCGAAGGCGAUCAGAUACCGCCCUAGUUCUAACCAUAAACGAUGCCAGCUAGCGAUCCGCCGAAGUUCCUCCGAUGACUCGGCGGGCAGCUUCCGGGAAACCAAAGCUUUUGGGUUCCGGGGGAAGUAUGGUUGCAAAGCUGAAACUUAAAGGAAUUGACGGAAGGGCACCACCAGGAGUGGAGCCUGCGGCUUAAUUUGACUCAACACGGGAAACCUCACCAGGCCCAGACACCGGAAGGAUUGACAGAUUGAUAGCUCUUUCUUGAUUCGGUGGGUGGGUGGUGCAUGGCCGUUCUUAGUUGGUGGAGCGAUUUGUCUGGUUAAUUCCGAUAACGAACGAGACUCUAGCCUGCUAAAUAGGCGUACCUUAUGGUAUCGCGAAGGCCCCCGGCUUCGGCCGGUGGGUUUUUACUACCAACGUACAAACAAAUCUUCUUAGAGGGACAGGCGG